AUACGGAGGGGGCUAGCGUUGUUCGGAAUUACUGGGCGUAAAGCGCGCGUAGGCGGAUUGAUCAGUCAGGGGUGAAAUCCCGAGGCUUAACCUCGGAACUGCCUCUGAUACUGUCAAUCUUGAGUUCGAGAGAGGUGAGUGGAAUUCCUAGUGUAGAGGUGAAAUUCGUAGAUAUUAGGAAGAACACCAGUGGCGAAGGCGGCUCACUGGCUCGAUACUGACGCUGAGGUGCGAAAGCGUGGGGAGCAAACAGGAUUAGAAACCCUAGUAGUCC
This 274-nucleotide ribosomal RNA is filed under the name uncultured bacterium. RNAcentral describes it as "partial 16S ribosomal RNA". It matches the Rfam family "Bacterial small subunit ribosomal RNA", at positions 523 to 796 of the family's 1533-position model. The record is from RNAcentral.